GCGCGCGAAGCUCUGCGGUGGAGCACCUGGCUGUGAACCAGGUGGUCGUGGGUUCGAAUCCCUCCGCGCGCC
Molecule: transfer RNA, 72 nt
Filed under: Myxococcales bacterium
Lineage: Bacteria; Pseudomonadati; Myxococcota; Myxococcia; Myxococcales
Description: tRNA-His
Rfam family: tRNA
About the family: Transfer RNA (tRNA) molecules are approximately 80 nucleotides in length. Their secondary structure includes four short double-helical elements and three loops (D, anti-codon, and T loops).
Source: RNAcentral